CCUACGGGUGGCAGCAGUGAGGAAUAUUGGUCAAUGGGCGCGAGCCUGAACCAGCCAAGUAGCGUGAAGGAUGACUGCCCUACGGGUCGUAAACUUCUUUUAUACAGGGAUAAAGUCAUGCACUUGUGCCUUUCUGCAUGUACUUUAUGAAUAAGGAUCGGCUAAUUCCGUGCCAGCAGCCGCGGUAAUACGGAGGAGCCGAGCGUUAUCCGGAUUUAUUGGGUUUAACGGGAGCGUAGAUGGGUGGUGAAGUCAGUUGUGAAAGUUUGCGGCUCAACCGGAGAAUUGCAUUUGAUACUGGCAGUCGUGAGUGCAGUAGAGGUAGGCGGAAUUCGUGGUGUAGCGGUGAAAUGCUUAGAUAUCACGAGGAACUCCGAUGGCGAAGGCAGCUUACUGAACUGCCACUGACGUUGAUGCUCGAAAGUGUGGGUAUCAAACAGGAUUAGAUACCCUAGUAGUC
RNAcentral lists this ribosomal RNA (460 nucleotides) under uncultured bacterium. RNAcentral's name for it is "partial 16S ribosomal RNA". It matches the Rfam family "Bacterial small subunit ribosomal RNA", at positions 338 to 795 of the family's 1533-position model. The record is from RNAcentral.